UGGGGAAUAUUGGACAAUGGGGGCAACCCUGAUCCAGCCAUGCCGCGUGUGUGAAGAAGGCCUUUUGGUUGUAAAGCACUUUAAGCAGGGAGGAGAGGCUAAUGGUUAAUACCCAUUAGAUUAGACGUUACCUGCAGAAUAAGCACCGGCUAACUCUGUGCCAGCAGCCGCGGUAAUACAGAGGGUGCGAGCGUUAAUCGGAAUUACUGGGCGUAAAGCGAGUGUAGGUGGCUCAUUAAGUCACAUGUGAAAUCCCCGGGCUUAACCUGGGAACUGCAUGUGAUACUGGUGGUGCUAGAAUAUGUGAGAGGGAAGUAGAAUUCCCAGGUGUAGCGGUGAAAUGCGUAGAGAUCUGGAGGAAUACCGAUGGCGAAGGCAGCUUCCUGGCAUAAUAUUGACACUGAGAUUCGAAAGCGUGGGUAGCAAACAGGAUUAGAUACCCUGGUAGUCCACGCCGUAAAACGAUGUCUACUAGCCGUUGGGGUCCUUGAGACUUUAGUGGCGCAGUUAACGCGAUAAGUAGACCGCCUGGGGAG
This 536-nucleotide ribosomal RNA is filed under the name uncultured bacterium. RNAcentral describes it as "partial 16S ribosomal RNA". It matches the Rfam family "Bacterial small subunit ribosomal RNA", at positions 355 to 880 of the family's 1533-position model. The record is from RNAcentral.